ACCGUAAACAAUUGAUUUACACCUACAAACGCCAGGGAAUUACGAGCAAUGCUUAAAACCCAAAGGACUUGACGGUGUCCCACCCAACUAGAGGAGCCUGUUCUAUAAUCGAUGAUCCCCGCUACACCCGACCAUUCCUUGCUCAUCAGUCUGUAUACCUCCGUCGAAAGCUUACCAUGUGAACGUCUGCAGUAAGCUCAAUGACUCACACGUCAACACGUCAGGUCAAGGUGCAACUCAAGGACUGGGAAGUAAUGGGCUACAAUUUCUAAUUUAGAACAAACGGAAGACUAUGUGAAAUCUUAGUCAUGAAGGUGGAUUUAGCAGUAAAAAGAAAAUAGAGUGUUCUUUUUAACUUGGCUCUGGGAUGCGUACACACCGCCCGUCACCCUCUUCAAUAGUAUACUAUUAGUUCUUAACCCAUAAUCACGUUUUAGAAGAGGCAAGUCGUAACAUGGUAAGUGUACUGGAAAGUGCACUUGGUAAACA
RNAcentral lists this ribosomal RNA (489 nucleotides) under Lithobates palmipes (Amazon River frog). RNAcentral describes it as "partial 12S ribosomal RNA". It matches the Rfam family "Bacterial small subunit ribosomal RNA", at positions 799 to 1533 of the family's 1533-position model. Lineage: Eukaryota; Metazoa; Chordata; Amphibia; Anura; Ranidae. The record is from RNAcentral.